This is a long non-coding RNA of Talpa occidentalis (Iberian mole), 1434 nucleotides long. RefSeq lists it as uncharacterized. The record is from RefSeq and is a predicted model, not a curated record. Lineage: Eukaryota; Metazoa; Chordata; Mammalia; Eulipotyphla; Talpidae. The transcript is spliced from 5 exons.
UCUGACUGCGCGGGGGCCGGGAAGCCGGCAGGAGGACUUCUGGGGACUUUCUGGUCCCUCGGCCAACGGUCUUCGCGCCCUUUAUUCUCAGUCCCGGCACGGGACUGGACAGCCCCGGUGCGCGCCUCCGUGGAAGUUAAGGGGAGGCACAGCCAAGACGCCAGACAAGUAACCGACACGUGCCACCGCGCGGUGACAGAGAAAAUGGAUGUGAAAGACCACAGGCUUCCAGAACUUCGCUGCUAAUGCCUGUGGGUGCACUUGCUUAGUCCCUGUGGCACGGGCCACCACCGGCACGGAACUUGGGACUCUCGCCUGCCAGGGACAGGUGCCGUGUCCACGUGACUGACGGGGAAGCUGAGGCCCAGACGGUGGUGGGAUCACAUGGGUCAGGACAGCCAGCAGCUCCCAGCUUCUCAGGAUGAACUUCCCCUGUUGGAAGGGAUGGACAAGGGGGCCAGCUCUGGUCCUGAGGCAGCCCCGGGAGCCCCGGAGCCUGGAGACGUGCAGGGAAGGACCCCGGAGGACCAGCACCAGAUGAGAAAACUGAAGAUCAGAAUGGGGAGAGACUGUCUCAAGACUGGACUUGGAACUAAACGUUGGUCUGCCUGUCCCCCGCCCUGUGCUAGUCACAUACAAUCUCAUUAGUCCAGGAUUAUAGGGCAGAAUCUAGACCAAAAUCCUAGGGGGCUGACCUGUCUUCCUCCCCACCUGCCUGCUCUCCUUUCCUUCCUCCUUCCUCCUUCCUUCCACAAAAAUACACCAAGUACCUACUCUGUGCCAGCUACCAGGUAACCAAGCGAAACUCACUCCAUGCCUUCUGGAGCCCCAGGCCAGGUGAAGAAGCAGGACCCCCAAGGACAGAUCACCCUUUAGUUUGAUGAGAGCAUUAUGGGGGAAACACAGACCUCCCAAUGCCCCCCACAUGCCUUUUCACUCGUGCUGUGGGAUUGAUUGGUUCCCUGGCACCUCUGAAAUCAGUCACCCCUUGUGGAUCCUGUAAGACCCCCAGGCUCCUCCCCAGUGAAGCCCCCACCCCGCCAUGUACACACACUUCUCACUAACACUCAUGCAUAAUGUGGCAUAAAAGAUCAGGAUUCUCCUGGUAAGCAAAUAUCUCCUGUCUUUUUAUUGUCCUUAGGCCAUCUGGGGCUAAUUACACACAGCUUAGGUAACCUCAGAUCUAAACCGCUGAGAUCCAGCUCCCUGUUCCCGCCACCCGAAGCCUCAGCAAAGUGCAGGGCUUUGCAAACUAAAACUGGAGGUGGUCCUGCUUGCCAGAAACAACAGAGCACCCAGAGCGCAUGUGACCUGAGGGCAGCCACCCCUAACUGUCCAGACAGGCGGUAGAAUGCGGUGGUUAGGAGUUGCACAGACCUGGGUGUGAUCAGGGGCAAGUCACUGCGCCUCAGUUUCCCUGCUGGUAAACCAUAA